RNAcentral lists this small RNA (107 nucleotides) under Pelagibacterium halotolerans B2. RNAcentral's name for it is "EcpR1". It matches the Rfam family "EcpR1". From Rfam's summary of the family: Perviously named SmelC291, SmrC10, or Sra33. The record is from Rfam by way of RNAcentral. Lineage: Bacteria; Pseudomonadati; Pseudomonadota; Alphaproteobacteria; Hyphomicrobiales; Devosiaceae.
AAACCCUACGGUUUUCAGGUCCGCCGCAACUCCUGAUCCGUAGGGCGGCUGGCCCGGUAUCGGACAAGAGUGGCCUCUUCGACAAACCGGACCGGGUCAGCCAACCC